RNAcentral lists this non-coding RNA (76 nucleotides) under Clostridium perfringens SM101. Its description in RNAcentral is "RAGATH-18 RNA". It matches the Rfam family "RAGATH-18 RNA". Rfam says of the family: Actinobacteria, Firmicutes, Fusobacteria, Thermotogae (1 example). Lineage: Bacteria; Bacillati; Bacillota; Clostridia; Eubacteriales; Clostridiaceae. The record is from Rfam by way of RNAcentral.
CCCUCUGAGAGUUAUAAGAAAUGAAAGUAGAUUACACUCUGUAUAGUUUUCAAAAUCUGACUCGUAGAACAGGGAA